GUUGUAUGGUUAAGUGACUAAGCGUACACGGUGGAUGCCUUGGCAGUCAGAGGCGAUGAAAGACGUAGUAACUUGCGAUAAGCCCAGAUUAGGUAGUAACAACCAUUUGAGUCUGGGAUUUCUGAAUGGGGAAACCCACGUGCAUAAGCACGUAUCCUUACCUGAAUACAUAAGGUAAGGAGGCGAACCGGGGGAACUGAAACAUCUAAGUACCCCGAGGAAAAGAAAUCAACCGAGAUUCCGAAAGUAGCGGCGAGCGAAAUUGGACUAGCCCUUAAGCUUUACACGCGUUAGACGAACGGUCUGGAAAGUCCGACGAUACAGGGUGAUAGUCCCGUAGUUGACGACGUGUGUUCAGUGAAAUCGAGUAGGGCGGGACACGUGAUAUCCUGUCUGAAUAUGGGGGGACCAUCCUCCAAGGCUAAAUACUACUGACUGACCGAUAGUGAACCAGUACCGUGAGGGAAAGGCGAAAAGAACCCCUGUGAGGGGAGUGAAAUAGAACCUGAAACCGUGUACGUACAAGCAGUAGGAGCAGGCUUUGUCCUGUGACUGCGUACCUUUUGUAUAAUGGGUCAGCGACUUAUAUUCAGUGGCAAGGUUAACCAUCUAGGGGAGCCGUAGGGAAACCGAGUCUUAACUGGGCGUUCAGUCUCUGGAUAUAGACCCGAAACCAGGUGAUCUAGCCAUGGGCAGGUUGAAGGUUGAGUAACAUCAACUGGAGGACCGAACCGACUAAUGUUGAAAAAUUAGCGGAUGACUUGUGGCUAGGGGUGAAAGGCCAAUCAAACCUGGAGAUAGCUGGUUCUCCCCGAAAGCUAUUUAGGUAGCGCCUCGGACGAAUACUACUGGGGGUAGAGCACUGUUAAGGCUAGGGGGUCAUCCCGACUUACCAACCCUUUGCAAACUCCGAAUACCAGUAAGUACUAUCCGGGAGACACACGGCGGGUGCUAACGUCCGUCGUGGAGAGGGAAACAACCCAGACCGCCAGCUAAGGUCCCAAAUUACUACUAAGUGGGAAACGAUGUGGGAAGGCUCAGACAGCCAGGAUGUUGGCUUAGAAGCAGCCAUCAUUUAAAGAAAGCGUAAUAGCUCACUGGUCGAGUCGGCCUGCGCGGAAGAUGUAACGGGGCUAAGUAGUAAACCGAAGCUGCGGCAAUAUACUUUUGUAUAUUGGGUAGGGGAGCGUUCUGUAAGCGGUUGAAGGUGUGUGGUAACGCAUGCUGGACGUAUCAGAAGUGCGAAUGCUGACAUGAGUAACGAUAAAGGGGGUGAAAAACCUCCUCGCCGGAAGACCAAGGGUUCCUGUCCAACGUUAAUCGGGGCAGGGUAAGUCGACCCCUAAGGCGAGGCCGAAAGGCGUAGUCGAUGGGAAACGGGUUAAUAUUCCCGUACUUCUUACAAUUGCGAUGGGGGGACGGAGAAGGCUAGGUGGGCCUGGCGACGGUUGUCCAGGUUCAAGUGCGUAGGCUUAAGAGUUAGGUAAAUCCGGCUCUUUUUAAGGCUGAGACACGACGUCGAGCACCUACGGGUGUGAAGUCAUUGAUGCCAUGCUUCCAGGAAAAGCCUCUAAGCUUCAGAUUGUAAGGAAUCGUACCCCAAACCGACACAGGUGGUCGGGUAGAGAAUACCAAGGCGCUUGAGAGAACUCGGGUGAAGGAACUAGGCAAAAUGGUACCGUAACUUCGGGAGAAGGUACGCUCUUGAUGGUGAAGUCCCUUGCGGAUGGAGCUGACGAGAGUCGCAGAUACCAGGUGGCUGCAACUGUUUAUUAAAAACACAGCACUGUGCAAAAUCGUAAGAUGACGUAUACGGUGUGACGCCUGCCCGGUGCCGGAAGGUUAAUUGAUGGGGUUAGACUUCGGUCGAAGCUCUUGAUCGAAGCCCCGGUAAACGGCGGCCGUAACUAUAACGGUCCUAAGGUAGCGAAAUUCCUUGUCGGGUAAGUUCCGACCUGCACGAAUGGCGUAAUGAUGGCCACGCUGUCUCCACCCGAGACUCAGUGAAAUUGAAAUCGCUGUGAAGAUGCAGUGUACCCGCGGCUAGACGGAAAGACCCCGUGAACCUUUACUACAGCUUGGCACUGAACAUUGACCCUACAUGUGUAGGAUAGGUGGGAGGCUUUGAAGCACGUACGCCAGUAUGUGUGGAGCCGUCCUUGAAAUACCACCCUUGUAGUGUUGAUGUUCUAACGUCGACCCCUUAUCGGGGUUGCGGACAGUGCCUGGUGGGUAGUUUGACUGGGGCGGUCUCCUCCCAAAGAGUAACGGAGGAGCACGAAGGUGGGCUAAUCACGGUUGGACAUCGUGAGGUUAGUGCAAUGGCAUAAGCCCGCUUGACUGCGAGAAUGACAAUUCGAGCAGGUGCGAAAGCAGGUCAUAGUGAUCCGGUGGUUCUGAAUGGAAGGGCCAUCGCUCAACGGAUAAAAGGUACUCCGGGGAUAACAGGCUGAUACCGCCCAAGAGUUCAUAUCGACGGCGGUGUUUGGCACCUCGAUGUCGGCUCAUCACAUCCUGGGGCUGAAGUCGGUCCCAAGGGUAUGGCUGUUCGCCAUUUAAAGUGGUACGCGAGCUGGGUUUAGAACGUCGUGAGACAGUUCGGUCCCUAUCUGCCGUGGGCGUUGGAAGAUUGAAGGGGGCUGCUCCUAGUACGAGAGGACCGGAGUGGACGAACCUCUGGUGUUCGGGUUGUGUCGCCAGACGCAUUGCCCGGUAGCUAAGUUCGGAAUCGAUAACCGCUGAAAGCAUCUAAGCGGGAAGCGAGCCCUGAGAUGAGUCUUCCCUGAUACUUUAAGUAUCCUAAAGGGUUGUCGGAGACUACGACGUUGAUAGGUCAGGUGUGUAAGUGCUGUGAGGCAUUGAGCUAACUGAUACUAAUUGCCCGUGAGGCUUAACCAUACAACACCCAAGGGGUUU
This 2916-nucleotide ribosomal RNA is filed under the name Vibrio parahaemolyticus. RNAcentral's name for it is "bacterial LSU rRNA". It matches the Rfam family "Bacterial large subunit ribosomal RNA". Lineage: Bacteria; Pseudomonadati; Pseudomonadota; Gammaproteobacteria; Vibrionales; Vibrionaceae. The record is from RNAcentral.